RNAcentral lists this ribosomal RNA (292 nucleotides) under uncultured bacterium. RNAcentral's name for it is "partial 16S ribosomal RNA". It matches the Rfam family "Bacterial small subunit ribosomal RNA", at positions 505 to 796 of the family's 1533-position model. The record is from RNAcentral.
GUGCCAGCAGCCGCGGUAAUACAGAGGUGUCAAGCGUUGCUCGGUGUCACUGGGCUUAAAGGGCGCGUAGGCGGUGCAGCACGGUCCGGGUGAAAUCCCUCGGCCCAACCGAGGAAUUGCCCGGGCGACGGCUGCGCUGGACUGCAUCAGGGGCGGAUGGAACUCCCGGUGGAGCGGUGAAAUGCGUAGAUAUCGGGAGGAACGCCGGUGGCGAAAGCGAUCCGCUGGGGUGCAUGUGACGCUGAGGCGCGAAAGCCAGGGGAGCAAACGGGAUUAGAUACCCCGGUAGUCC